AAAUCAAGCAGCCUGUCAGUUCCUUUGGCCACGUCGGAAGAUGUCAUCUCAAACUAAGUUCAAGAAAGACAAAGAGAUCAUUGCUGAAUAUGAAGCCCAAAUAAAAGAGAUCCGCACGCAGCUGGUGGAGCAGUUCAAAUGUCUGGAGCAGCAAUCAGAGUCGCGACUGCAGCUGCUUCAAGACCUCCAGGAGUUUUUCCGCCGGAAAGCUGAGAUUGAGCUCGAGUACUCCCGCAGCCUGGAGAAGCUGGCCGAGCGCUUCUCCUCCAAAAUCCGCAGCUCCCGGGAGCACCAGUUCAAGAAGGACCAGUACCUCCUCUCGCCUGUGAACUGUUGGUAUCUGGUUCUGCAUCAGACCCGGCGGGAGAGCCGAGACCAUGCCACCCUCAAUGACAUCUUCAUGAACAAUGUCAUCGUCCGCCUCUCCCAGAUCAGUGAGGAUGUCAUCAGACUCUUCAAAAAGAGCAAGGAGAUUGGCCUGCAGAUGCACGAGGAGCUCCUGAAGGUGACCAAUGAGCUCUACACAGUCAUGAAAACCUACCACAUGUACCAUGCAGAGAGCAUCAGUGCAGAAAGCAAGCUGAAGGAGGCUGAGAAGCAGGAGGAGAAGCAGUUCAAUAAGUCAGGAGACCUCAGCAUGAACCUGCUCCGGCACGAGGACCGGCCCCAGCGCCGCAGCUCUGUGAAGAAGAUUGAGAAGAUGAAGGAGAAGAGGCAGGCUAAGUACUCUGAGAACAAGCUGAAAUGCACAAAGGCCCGGAAUGACUACUUGCUCAAUCUGGCAGCCACCAACGCAGCUAUAAGCAAAUACUACAUCCAUGACGUCUCCGAUCUGAUCGAUGUGAGCUCCCUGGGGAGUCUGGGACUGAGCAGGGCCCGUACCUGGGCUGGCGCACGUCACUGGCUGAAGGAGGGGCUGGUCUUUGUCUUUAGCUGACAUUCUCGGGUAGCUAGGGCUCUUUUGAGCCCUGCUGGAGGGGAAGGGCAGUGAGUUUGGGAGCUGGAAAAUGAGUGUUACCUCGUGAUGUCUAUUUUCACAAGUGGCACAUGGGCCUCUGGUGGCCCCAGUGCAGUUGGCUUGGGCAGUCGUAUAUCCAAUGCCAACUUCCCAAGUACCCUCCUGGACACCAGGUCCUUUGCUGGGUUUGAGGGGUUCAGGGGUGAACCACACACAGUUCAUGCCUUGGGGGAUUUCCCAGUGUGAUAAAGGAGAUGUUAUUAGUAAUAUGUUUAGCGCCCCUAGGGCCACUCAGCCAGACACACGUACAUGCGAAAGGAAGUAGCGAAUGAGAUAGACUUAAUUAUGCAGAUCAGCUUUGUAUGGGGAGAUUAUCUUGGGAGAAAUCGGGCAGCUUAAGCAAAUGGAGAACGGAACACUGACUCCCAAGUACCAGCUGUGCAGGACACGCCACAGGGACAAGCAGAUUGGGAGAAAGAACACUGUGAGCGAUGGCACUGGGGAGGGCUUCUGUGUCAUCUAAGUAGGAGCCAGGAUUGUUUCUCUCAUGUCCCCCUUCCUGCACAGAUGGGGGAGCUGGCCCUGUCCAUGCUUAGUAAAGGCUCGGUACUGGUUGAUGGACUCUUUUCCUGGUGUAUCCUGUUGGGAAGUCAGGGGGCUCCUGCUUUUCCCAUGGCUCCAUUGUCUGCAUCGCAAGGAGAGGGAGCUCCCAAAUGGCCCAAGGCCAGACCUUCCUCUUUCCUACUUUUCAACGUUCUUUUUUGCCCUUUCAGCGCUUUUAUUCAUUCAUUUACCAUAUAUUAAUUGAGCACCUGCUGUUGUCUGGAACUUGAGGUGCAGGAGCAGUGGGUUGGCCCUCAGGGAGCUUACCUCACCAAGGACAUGUUGAUAGGUGAUUUUAAUACUAAGUGGCAGGGGUCACAGUGAGAGAGGUAGAGGGAAAUGUGGACCCCUGGAGGAGGAUCACCUGACCAACUCUGAGUGGGGAGAACAUCAAGGAAGCCUUCCUGGAGGAAGUGACCUCUAAACUGAAUUCCAAAAGAAGAGUAUUCCAGGCAGAGGGGAUGCAUGCACACCACCCUAAAGAAGAGAAAGAUGGGCUCACGCUUGUAAUCUGAGCACUUUGGGAGGCCGAGGCGGGUAGAUCACAAGGUCAGGAGUUUGAGACCAGCCUCCUCCAACACAGUAAAACCCUGUCUCUAUUAAAAAUACAAAAAUUAGCUGGGCUUGGUGGUGGGCGCCUGUAAUCUCAGCUACUCGGGAGGCUGAGGCAGGAGAAUCGAUUGAACCCAGGAGGCGGAGAUUGCAGUGAGCCGAGAUCGUGCCACUGCACUCCAGCCUGGGUGACAGAACUAGACUCCAUCUC
This 2324-nucleotide small RNA is filed under the name Pongo abelii (Sumatran orangutan). Its description in RNAcentral is "retained intron". The record is from RNAcentral. Lineage: Eukaryota; Metazoa; Chordata; Mammalia; Primates; Hominidae.